RNAcentral lists this ribosomal RNA (380 nucleotides) under uncultured eukaryote. Its description in RNAcentral is "partial 18S ribosomal RNA". It matches the Rfam family "Eukaryotic small subunit ribosomal RNA", at positions 592 to 976 of the family's 1831-position model. The record is from RNAcentral.
CAAUAGCGUAUAUUAAAGUUGUUGCGGUUAAAAAGCUCGUAGUUGGAGUUCUGCCAGGUGACACUCGUCCGCCCAAGUGGUGUGUACAGGGUGUGCAUCUGGCCCUUUCAAGGGGAACGUGUCUGCACUUCAUUGUGUGGUGCGAGAUCCUUGACUUUUACUUUGAGGAAAUAAGAGUGUUCCAAGCAGGCUCUCGUCGUGCAUAGCUCAGCAUGGAAUAAUAGCAUUGGACUUCGUUUCUACGCUGUUGGUUGCAAGAAGCGAGGUAAUGAUGAAGAGGGAUAGUUGGGGGCAUUCGUAUUUAACUGUCAGAGGUGAAAUUUUUGGAUUUGUUAAAGACGGACUACUGCGAAAGCAUCUGCCAUGGAUGUUUUCAUUGA